CCUACGGGUGGCAGCAGUGGGGGAUAUUGCACAAUGGGGGAAACCCUGAUGCAGCGACGCCGCGUGGGUGAAGAAGCGCCUCGGCGCGUAAAGUCCUGUCAGCAGGGAAGAAAAUGACGGUAUCUGACGAAGAAGCACCGGCUAACUACGUGCCAGCAGCCGCGGUAAUACGUAGGGGGCAAGCGUUAUCCGGAUUUACUGGGUGUAAAGGGCGCGCAGACGGGGAUGCAAGCCAGGAGUGAAAGCCCAGGGCUCAACCCCGGGACUGCACUUGAAACUGCGUGGCUAGAGUGCGGGAGGGGCAGGCGGAAUUCCUGGUGUAGGGGUGAAAUGCGUAGAGAUCAGGAGGAACACUGGUGGCGAAGGCGACCUGCUGGAAUGCAACUGACGUUGAGGCCCGAAAGCGUGGGGAGCAAACAGGAUUAGAUACCCCUGUAGUC
RNAcentral lists this ribosomal RNA (440 nucleotides) under uncultured bacterium. Its description in RNAcentral is "partial 16S ribosomal RNA". It matches the Rfam family "Bacterial small subunit ribosomal RNA", at positions 338 to 795 of the family's 1533-position model. The record is from RNAcentral.